Molecule: ribosomal RNA, 165 nt
Filed under: uncultured fungus
Lineage: Eukaryota; Fungi
Description: partial 28S ribosomal RNA
Rfam family: Eukaryotic large subunit ribosomal RNA
Source: RNAcentral
CUGAUCUCAAAUCAGGUAGGAAUACCCGCUGAACUUAAGCAUAUCAAUAAGCGGAGGAAAAGAAACUAACAAGGAUUCCCCUAGUAACGGCGAGUGAAGCGGGAAGAGCUCAAAUUUAAAAUCUGGCAGUGUAUUCUGUCCGAGUUGUAGUCUAGAGAAGCGUCA